AUUGAACGCUGGCGGCAUGCCUUACACAUGCAAGUCGAACGGUAACGCGGGGCAACCUGGCGACGAGUGGCGAACGGGUGAGUAAUGCAUCGGAACGUGCCCAGUAGUGGGGGAUAGCCCAGCGAAAGCCGGAUUAAUACCGCAUACGACCUACGGGUGAAAGCGGGGGACCGUAAGGCCUCGCGCUAUUGGAGCGGCCGAUGUCAGAUUAGGUUGUUGGUGGGGUAAAGGCCUACCAAGCCGACGACCUGUAGCUGGUCUGAGAGGACGACCAGCCACACUGGGACUGAGACACGGCCCAGACUCCUACGGGAGGCAGCAGUGGGGAAUUUUGGACAAUGGGGGCAACCCUGAUCCAGCCAUGCCGCGUGCGGGAAGAAGGCCUUCGGGUUGUAAACCGCUUUUGUCAGGGAAGAAACGCUCUGGGCUAAUACCCUGGGGUAAUGACGGUACCUGAAGAAUAAGCACCGGCUAACUACGUGCCAGCCGCCGCAGUAA
RNAcentral lists this ribosomal RNA (498 nucleotides) under uncultured bacterium. RNAcentral describes it as "partial 16S ribosomal RNA". It matches the Rfam family "Bacterial small subunit ribosomal RNA", at positions 29 to 523 of the family's 1533-position model. The record is from RNAcentral.